AUGACGCUGUCUAAUCUAGCAAAACCAGAUCGGCUUACGCCCAGAGAGAGGGAGUUGGAUGAACUAGACAUCCCAGCAAUGCUGUCACCACCAUCAACAGAAAUUUUUGCAAGGAUUUCACCUGGAGCCAGACACGACCGCAUCACCUCAAAACCCAAAGACCCAGCACACGUCUGGCCACCGCACGCAAGCCUCGAGAGGAGAGAGGAGCCCCCACUGCACCACGAGAAGAGGACGUCUUGGCCUUGGCCUCGGUUGGGAAGGCAAGGACGCGGCGAUGGCGGCAUUUCUACCACUCCAGCGGUGGCUCAUUCGGCAUGCGUCAGGUGA
Molecule: ribosomal RNA, 330 nt
Filed under: Triticum aestivum (bread wheat)
Lineage: Eukaryota; Viridiplantae; Streptophyta; Magnoliopsida; Poales; Poaceae
Description: partial small subunit ribosomal RNA
Source: RNAcentral